This 497-nucleotide ribosomal RNA is filed under the name uncultured bacterium. RNAcentral's name for it is "partial 16S ribosomal RNA". It matches the Rfam family "Bacterial small subunit ribosomal RNA", at positions 28 to 507 of the family's 1533-position model. The record is from RNAcentral.
GAUGAACGCUGGCGGCGUGCCUAAUACAUGCAAGUCGAGCGAACAGACUAGGAGCUUGCUCCUCUGACGUUAGCGGCGGACGGGUGAGUAACACGUGGAUAACCUACCUAUAAGACUGGGAUAACUUCGGGAAACCGGAGCUAAUACCGGAUAAUAUAUUGAACCGCAUGGUUCAAUAGUGAAAGACGGUUUUGCUGUCACUUAUAGAUGGAUCCGCGCCGCAUUAGCUAGUUGGUAAGGUAACGGCUUAUCAAGGCAACGAUGCGUAGCCGACCUGAGAGGGUGAUAGGCCACACUGGAACUGAGACACGGUCCAGACUCCUACGGGAGGCAGAAGUAGGGAAUCUUCCGCAAUGGGCGAAAGCCUGACGGAGCAACGACGCGUGAGUGAUGAAGGUAUUCGGAUCGUAAAACUCUGUUAUUAGGGAAGAACAAAUGUGUAAGUAACUAUGCACGUCUUGACGGUACCUAAUCAGAAAGCAACGGCUAACUACGUG